GAUGAACGCUGGCGGCGUGCUUAACACAUGCCAGUCGAACGGAAAGGCUCCUGCUUGCAGGGGUACUCGAGUGGCGAACGGGUGAGUAACACGUGGGUGAUCUGCCCUGCACUUCGGGAUAAGCCUGGGAAACUGGGUCUAAUACCGGAUAGGACGAUGGUUUGGAUGCCAUUGUGGAAAGUUUUUUCGGUGUGGGAUGAGCUCGCGGCCUAUCAGCUUGUUGGUGGGGUAAUGGCCUACCAAGGCGUCGACGGGUAGCCGGCCUGAGAGGGUGUACGGCCACAUUGGGACUGAGAUACGGCCCAGACUCCUACGGGAGGCAGCAGUGGGGAAUAUUGCACAAUGGGCGGAAGCCUGAUGCAGCGACGCCGCGUGGGGGAUGACGGCCUUCGGGUUGUAAACCGCUUUCGCUAGUGACGAAGCGCAAGUGACGGUACCUGGUGAAGAAGCACCGGCUAACUACGUG
Molecule: ribosomal RNA, 466 nt
Filed under: uncultured bacterium
Lineage: Bacteria
Description: partial 16S ribosomal RNA
Rfam family: Bacterial small subunit ribosomal RNA
Source: RNAcentral